RNAcentral lists this ribosomal RNA (497 nucleotides) under uncultured bacterium. RNAcentral's name for it is "partial 16S ribosomal RNA". It matches the Rfam family "Bacterial small subunit ribosomal RNA", at positions 28 to 507 of the family's 1533-position model. The record is from RNAcentral.
GAUGAACGCUGGCGGCGUGCCUAAUACAUGCAAGUCGAGCGGACGGACGCGAAGCUUGCUUCUCUCAUGUUAGCGGCGGACGGGUGAGUAACGCGUGGAUACCCUACCUGUAAGUCGGGUAUAACUUCGGGAAACCGUAGCUUAUACCGGAUGAUAUUUUGAACCGCAUGGGUCAAUAGUGAAAUUCGGUCUUUCUGUCACUUCUAGAUGGAUCCGGGCUUCAUUAGCUAGUUGGUAGGGUAACGGCUUACCAAGGCAACGAUGCGUAGCCGACCGGUGAGGGUGGUCGGCCACACUGGAGGGUAGACGCGGUCCAGACUCCUGCGGGAGGCAGCAGUAGGGAAUGUUCCGCAACGGGCGAAAGCAUGACGGAGCGACGCCGCGCGAGAGGUGGAGGUCCUGGGAUCGUAAAACUCUGUUAUUAGGGGAGAACAGCUGUGUAAGGAACUGUGGCGAUCUUGACGGUACCUAAUAAGAAAGCCACGGCUAACUACGUG